RNAcentral lists this ribosomal RNA (821 nucleotides) under Lophiostoma clematidis-subumbellatae. RNAcentral describes it as "Pseudocapulatispora clematidis partial large subunit ribosomal RNA". It matches the Rfam family "Eukaryotic large subunit ribosomal RNA", at positions 44 to 884 of the family's 3401-position model. The record is from RNAcentral. Lineage: Eukaryota; Fungi; Ascomycota; Dothideomycetes; Pleosporales; Lophiostomataceae.
CAAUAAGCGGAGGAAAAGAAACCAACAGGGAUUGCCCUAGUAACGGCGAGUGAAGCGGCAACAGCUCAAAUUUGAAAUCUGGCCCUUUCAGGGUCCGAGUUGUAAUUUGCAGAGGGUGCUUUGGCUUUGGCUGUGGUCUAAGUUCCUUGGAACAGGACGUCACAGAGGGUGAGAAUCCCGUACGUGGCCGCCAGCCUCUGCCGUGUAAAGCCCCUUCGAUGAGUCGAGUUGUUUGGGAAUGCAGCUCUAAAUGGGAGGUAAAUUUCUUCUAAAGCUAAAUAUUUGCCAGAGACCGAUAGCGCACAAGUAGAGUGAUCGAAAGAUGAAAAGCACUUUGGAAAGAGAGUCAAAAAGCACGUGAAAUUGUUGAAAGGGAAGCGCUUGCAGCUAGACGUGCCUUUGGUUGUUCAGCCGGGCUUUUGCCCGGUGCACUCUACCUUUGGCAGGCCAGCAUCAGUUUGGACGGCUGGAUAAAGGUCUAUUAAACGUGACUUCCUUCGGGGAGAGCUUAUAGGGUAGACGACAUGCAGCCAGUCUGAACUGAGGUCCGCGCAUCUGCUAGGAUGCUGGCGUAAUAGCUGUAAGCGGCCCGUCUUGAAACACGGACCAAGGAGUCUAACAUCUAUGCGAGUGUUUGGGUGUCAAGCCCGAGCGCGCAAUGAAAGUAAACGGAGGUGGGAACCCUUUGGGUGCACCAUCGACCGAUCCUGAUGUCUUCGGAUGGAUUUGAGUAAGAGCAUAGCUGUUGGGACCCGAAAGAUGGUGAACUAUGCCUGAAUAGGGUGAAGCCAGAGGAAACUCUGGUGGAGGCUCGCAGCGGU